AACUUUUAACAACGGAUCUCUUGGCUCUCGCAUCGAUGAAGAACGCAGCGAAAUGCGAUAAGUAAUGUGAAUUGCAGAAUUCAGUGAAUCAUCGAAUCUUUGAACGCACCUUGCGCUCCUUGGUAUUCCGAGGAGCAUGCCUGUUUGAGUGUCA
Molecule: ribosomal RNA, 154 nt
Filed under: Filobasidium stepposum
Lineage: Eukaryota; Fungi; Basidiomycota; Tremellomycetes; Filobasidiales; Filobasidiaceae
Also listed under: 1 other name
Description: 5.8S ribosomal RNA
Rfam family: 5.8S ribosomal RNA
About the family: 5.8S ribosomal RNA (5.8S rRNA) is a component of the large subunit of the eukaryotic ribosome. It is transcribed by RNA polymerase I as part of the 45S precursor that also contains 18S and 28S rRNA. Functionally, it is thought that 5.8S rRNA may be involved in ribosome translocation.
Source: RNAcentral